Molecule: ribosomal RNA, 497 nt
Filed under: uncultured bacterium
Lineage: Bacteria
Description: partial 16S ribosomal RNA
Rfam family: Bacterial small subunit ribosomal RNA
Source: RNAcentral
GAUGAACGCUGGCGGCGUGCCUAAUACAUGCAAGUCGAGCGAACGGACGAGAAGCUUGCUUCUCUGAUGUUAGCGGCGGACAGGUGAGUAACACGUGGAUAACCUACCUAUAAGACUGGGAUAACUUCGGGAAACCGGAGCUAAUACCGGAUAAUAUUUUGAACCGCAUGGUUCAAAAGUGAAAGACGGUCUUGCUGUCACUUAUAGAUGGAUCCGCGCUGCAUUAGCUAGUUGGUAAGGUAACGGCUUACCAAGGCAACGAUGCAUAGCCGACCUGAGAGGGUGAUCGGCCACACUGGAACUGAGACACGGUCCAGACUCCUACGGGAGGCAGCAGUAGGGAAUCUUCCGCAAUGGGCGAAAGCCUGACGGAGCAACGCCGCGUGAGUGAUGAAGGUCUUCGGAUCGUAAAACUCUGUUAUUAGGGAAGAACAUAUGUGUAAGUAACUGUGCACAUCUUGAUGGUACCUAAUCAGAAAGCCACGGCUAACUACGUG